RNAcentral lists this microRNA precursor (84 nucleotides) under Bombyx mori (domestic silkworm). RNAcentral's name for it is "mir-2807 microRNA precursor family". It matches the Rfam family "mir-2807 microRNA precursor family". Lineage: Eukaryota; Metazoa; Arthropoda; Insecta; Lepidoptera; Bombycidae. The record is from Rfam by way of RNAcentral.
UUAACAUAAAUUUGUAUGGGGUUAGAACGUUUGCCUACGUUUGCCGCUAGGGGCGCUGUUCCAACUGCAUACAAAUUUGAGUUG